Molecule: ribosomal RNA, 449 nt
Filed under: Staphylococcus epidermidis
Lineage: Bacteria; Bacillati; Bacillota; Bacilli; Caryophanales; Staphylococcaceae
Description: bacterial SSU rRNA
Rfam family: Bacterial small subunit ribosomal RNA
Source: RNAcentral
GCUGGCGGCGUGCCUAAUACAUGCAAGUCGAGCGAACAGACGAGGAGCUUGCUCCUCUGACGUUAGCGGCGGACGGGUGAGUAACACGUGGAUAACCUACCUAUAAGACUGGGAUAACUUCGGGAAACCGGAGCUAAUACCGGAUAAUAUAUUGAACCGCAUGGUUCAAUAGUGAAAGACGGUUUUGCUGUCACUUAUAGAUGGAUCCGCGCCGCAUUAGCUAGUUGGUAAGGUAACGGCUUACCAAGGCAACGAUGCGUAGCCGACCUGAGAGGGUGAUCGGCCACACUGGAACUGAGACACGGUCCAGACUCCUACGGGAGGCAGCAGUAGGGAAUCUUCNNCNAUGGGCGAAAGCCUGACGGAGCAACGCCGCGUGAGUGAUGAAGGUCUUCGGAUCAUAAAACUCUGUUAUUAGGGAAGAACAAAUGUGUAAGUAACUAUGCACG